RNAcentral lists this long non-coding RNA (302 nucleotides) under Elaeis guineensis (African oil palm). RNAcentral describes it as "long non-coding RNA (EGUI_LNC028224)". The record is from RNAcentral. Lineage: Eukaryota; Viridiplantae; Streptophyta; Magnoliopsida; Arecales; Arecaceae.
GCCCAUGAGACAUGGCAUUGGGCCAAGGCCCAAGAUUAGACCAAGCUGACUUGGAUGGGAAACAGGGAAGGGCCACUAGCAGAGAUCUCAAGGUAAGAGGGUGGUGUGGUGAUGGUCGAACUAAAGAGCAAGGAUCCUCUGUGGUGCAUGCAUGGCAUUACUACUACUAUGCACGAGGGGUGGCAAUUGAUCUAAUAUGAAUGGGGUUGAUCGAUACCCAUACUCAUUUCGUCAGUAAAAAAUCCAUAUCCAUAUCCAUCUCAGAUCGGAUCAGGCUCCAAGAACGGAUCGAAUCAGGCUCC